GAGUUUGAUCUUGGCUCAGAUUGAACGCUGGCGGCAUGCCUUACACAUGCAAGUCGAACGGCAGCACGGGAGCUUGCUCCUGGUGGCGAGUGGCGAACGGGUGAGUAAUGCAUCGGAACGUAUCCUGGAGUGGGGGAUAACGUAGCGAAAGUUACGCUAAUACCGCAUAUUCUGUGAGCAGGAAAGCGGGGGACCUUCGGGCCUCGCGCUCUUGGAGCGGCCGAUGUCGGAUUAGCUAGUUGGUGAGGUAAAGGCUCACCAAGGCGACGAUCCGUAGCAGGUCUGAGAGGAUGAUCUGCCACACUGGAACUGAGACACGGUCCAGACUCCUACGGGAGGCAGCAGUGGGGAAUUUUGGACAAUGGGGGCAACCCUGAUCCAGCCAUGCCGCGUGAGUGAAGAAGGCCUCGGUUGUAAGUAC
This 421-nucleotide ribosomal RNA is filed under the name bacterium enrichment culture clone ALO1_GLFRUDD03FZ4CE. RNAcentral's name for it is "bacterial SSU rRNA". It matches the Rfam family "Bacterial small subunit ribosomal RNA", at positions 9 to 431 of the family's 1533-position model. RNAcentral also lists the same sequence under 5 other names. The record is from RNAcentral.